CUACGGGUGGCUCCAGUGGGGAAUUUUGCGCAAUGGAGGAAACUCUGACGCAGCAAUACCGCGUGAGUGAAGAAGGCCCUUGGGUCGUAAAGCUCUUUUAUAAGGGAAGAUAGUGACGGUACCUUAUGAAUAAGCACCGGCUAACUCCGUGCCAGCAGCCGCGGUAAUACGGAGGGUGCAAGCGUUGUUCGGAUUCACUGGGCGUAAAGGGCGCGUAGGCGGCAUCAUAAGUUAAGGGUGAAAUCCCGGGGCUCAACCCCGGAACUGCUCUUAAAACUGUGGAGCUAGAGAUAGUCAGAGGCGGGUGGAAUUCCUAGUGUAGAGGUGAAAUUCGUAGAUAUUAGGAGGAACACCGGUGGCGAAGGCGGCCCGCUGGGGCUUAUCUGACGCUAAGGCGCGAAAGCGUGGGGAGCAAACGGGAUUAGAUACCCUCGUAGUC
Molecule: ribosomal RNA, 439 nt
Filed under: uncultured bacterium
Lineage: Bacteria
Description: partial 16S ribosomal RNA
Rfam family: Bacterial small subunit ribosomal RNA
Source: RNAcentral